UUAACCCUUGGCGGAUGCCUACACAUGCAAGUCGAGCGGCAGCAGGUCCUUCGGGAUGCUGGCGAGCGGCGGACGGGUGAGUAACACGUGGGAAUCUGCCCAUCGGUGGGGGAUAGCCCGAGGAAACUCGGAUUAAUACCGCAUACGCCCUACGGGGCAAAGUAGACCUCUGAUUUAAGUUUACGCCGAUGGAUGAGCCCGCGGCCGAUUAGCUAGUUGGUGGGGUAAAGGCCUACCAAGGCAACGAUCGGUAGCUGGUCUGAGAGGACGAUCAGUCACACCGGAACUGAGACACGGUCCGGACUCCUACGGGAGGCAGCAGUGGGGAAUAUUGGACAAUGGGCGAAAGCCUGAUCCAGCAAUGCCGCGUGGGUGAAGAAGGCUUGAGGGUUGUAAAGCCCUUUCAGCAGGGAGGAAAAGCGUACGGUUAAUACCCGUGCGUCUUGACGUUACCUGCAGAAGAAGCACCGGCUAACUCCGUGCCAGCAGCCGNGGGUAAUA
This 501-nucleotide ribosomal RNA is filed under the name uncultured prokaryote. Its description in RNAcentral is "bacterial SSU rRNA". It matches the Rfam family "Bacterial small subunit ribosomal RNA", at positions 36 to 525 of the family's 1533-position model. The record is from RNAcentral.